AGAGUUUGAUCAUGGCUCAGGAUGAACGCUAGCUACAGGCUUAACACAUGCAAGUCGAGGGGAACGACAUCGAAAGCUUGCUUUUGAUGGGCGUCGACCGGCGCACGGGUGAGUAACGCGUAUCCAACCUGCCCACCACUUGGGGAUAACCUUGCGAAAGUAAGACUAAUACCCAAUGACGUCUCUAGAAGACAUCUGAAAGAGAUUAAAGAUUUAUCGGUGAUGGAUGGGGAUGCGUCUGAUUAGCUUGGUUGGCGGGGUAACGGCCCACCAAGGCGACGAUCAGUAGGGGUCUGAGAGGAACGGUCCCCCANAUUGGAACUGGAGACACGGUCCAAACUCCUACGGGAGGCA
This 354-nucleotide ribosomal RNA is filed under the name uncultured bacterium. RNAcentral's name for it is "bacterial SSU rRNA". It matches the Rfam family "Bacterial small subunit ribosomal RNA", at positions 8 to 350 of the family's 1533-position model. The record is from RNAcentral.